CUUGACAAAAACAUGAACUUGAAGAUCACAAAAUGUCAGAACCUCUUCUUAUCAAUUAUCAUCAAAACAAAACCUUCCGUUUCCUUAGAUUUAAUUUAGUUUAACAGUCUCUUUUCAGUUCAACAAUGGCUUCCUGAGAACUAUAAUUAUUGAGCCGAAAGCCAGGCCAGCAACUGACAGUUAAAAGUAAUAACACUCUCCCAAACUAUUACUAAUCUCUACCCAUCAAAACUCCCCUACCCACCAUCACCCAUGUCCACGAGCACCACCGUGGAGCCAACGCCGCCCUCGUCGCUUAUCCCAUCCUUGCCAGACGACGUGGCUUUGAACAUCAUAGCUCGAGUCCCAAGAUGCUACCACCCAAUUCUUUCAUUAGUCUCAAAAUCAAUGAGAUCCCUCAUUUCUUCCCCUCUCCUUUACACCACUCGUUCCCUCCUCAAUUCUUCCCAACACUUCCUUUACAUCUCUCUCCGCCUCCCCACCAGCCCUGUCCUACGCUUCUACACUCUCUACCAAAAUCCCACCAAACCAAAAAGUCUCAAAAAUAUCCUCGUCCCUCUCCCUCUUAUCCCUUCCACCUCCCUCGCCGGCUCCUCGUUCGCCUCCCUCGGCCACAAAAUCUACGUUCUCGGAGGCUCCAUAGCGGACAUCCCUUCUUCACACGUGUGGUCCCUUGACUGCCGGACCCACACUUGGGAACCAGCUCCGAACAUGCAUGUUUCCCGCGAGUUUGCCGCCGCCGGAGUCGUUGACGGUAAAAUUUAUGUCAUCGGCGGCUGCGUGGUUGAUAAUUGGGCUCGGUCGAAGAACUGGGCUGAAGUUUACGAUCCCAAAACGGGGAAAUGGAAUGCGGUUCCGAGUCCCGUUGAAAUCCGGUAUAAAUGGAUGCAUGCAAGCGCGGUUAUUGAUGGGAAAGUUUAUGCAAUGGCGGAUAGACAUGGACUUUGUUAUGAGGUCAAAAGUGGGAGUUGGGGAACGGUGGACACUGAUUUGGAUAAUGGGUGGAGGGGAAGAGCGUGUGUGAUUGAUGGGGUUUUGUUUUGUUACGAUUAUUUGGGGAAAAUAAGAGGGUAUGAUGUGAAGGAAGGGAUUUGGAAGGAGUUGAAAGGGUUGGAGGAAGAAUUGCCGAGGUUUUUAUGCGGUGCUACGAUGGCGAAUUUGGGAGGGAAGUUGAUAGUUGUUUGGGAAUCAAAAAAUGGAGGUAGCAAGGAAAUGGAGAUUUGGUGCGCGGAGAUUGAGGUGAAGAAGGAUGAAGGAGGGGAGUUGUGGGGCAGAACUGAGUGGUCUGAUGUUGUUCUUACAGUUCCUACGAGAUCUUCCAUUGUGCAUUGUUUGGCGGUUACGUUGUGAGAUUGGAUGGAGGAUUGUCUGGGGGAAUAUGUGGAGCCAGAGGGAGCAAGCUUCAGAUUGAGCCCUAUGAAUAUGAUUGUGGCAUUAAGCUGUUAUCUCCUUGGAAUGACAUCGCAAUGACCUGCGAAAUUGUUUCUCCUUUGGCUCAGGUCUUUUGUGCUUCAUUGUAAUUGAAUGAACAUAUGGUAUGAUGCUAAUGGGAAAAGCUCGGACCCGGAAUUGCCUCAUAUCAAUGUCUUCUGUUCGGCUUCAUCUUGUAUUGAAUUCGAGCAAUGCAUGAAAUCUGUAGCUUUUCUGCUUAAGUUCUGAUACACAAGGUAAUGGUUCAUUUAAAGUAGCUUUUAGGCAGCCAUGUUAGUAGACAACUCUCGCAGAUGCACUAUUUUCAUUCCCCAAACUGUAGUCAGCUACAAGUCUUUUUACUUUAAUUAUAUGGGUGGAAAGUAGUUAGAACCUAUAAACACCUCCACUCAAUGAUUGUAUUAAACCAAUGAAGAAUUGCAAUAACUAUGAUAAUCAUAAAGGAAUUGCUUACAAAAGCUUCCCCAUUUGUACAGGGUAAAUGCUGAACAGCUCCAAUCAUAAAAGUUUUAAGUUAAUAUUAUUACUUUUCUUGUCAUUAUCUCAGAAUGCCUCUACAUAGAAACUAGUUCUCUUUCUCUACUGACGGGACAAAAGGAUGGAAAGAAAACUAUUUU
Theobroma umbraticum is the source of this 2048-nucleotide RNA transcript. It is a transcript of the gene named SKP1 interacting partner 6, with no coding region annotated. The record is from RefSeq and is a predicted model, not a curated record. NCBI's taxonomy places the organism in Eukaryota, Viridiplantae, Streptophyta, Magnoliopsida, Malvales, Malvaceae.